RNAcentral lists this ribosomal RNA (503 nucleotides) under uncultured bacterium. Its description in RNAcentral is "partial 16S ribosomal RNA". It matches the Rfam family "Bacterial small subunit ribosomal RNA", at positions 30 to 523 of the family's 1533-position model. The record is from RNAcentral.
AUUGAAAGCUGGCGGCAUGCUUAACACAUGCAAGUCGAGCGGGGUGAUGGUGCUUGCACUAUCACUUAGCGGCGGACGGGUGAGUAAUGCUUAGGAAUCUGCCUAUUAGUGGGGGACAACAUCUAGAAAGGGAUGCUAAUACCGCAUACGUCCUACGGGAGAAAGCAGGGGCUCACUUGUGACCUUGCGCUAAUAGAUGAGCCUAAGUCGGAUUAGCUAGUUGGUGGGGUAAAGGCCUACCAAGGCGACGAUCUGUAGCGGGUCUGAGGGGAUGAUUCGCCUAGCUGGGAUGUGACCACGGCCCAGACUCCUAACGGAGGCAGCAGUGGGGAGUAUUGGUCAAUGGGGGGAACCCUGAUCCAGCCAUGCCGCGUGUGUGAAGAAGGCCUUAUGGUUGUAAGGCACUUUAAGCGAGGAGGAGGCUCUUUUGGUUAAUACCCAAGAUGAGUGGACGUUACUCGCAGAAUAAGCACCGGCUAACUCUGUGCCAGCCGCCGCUGUAA